Molecule: ribosomal RNA, 398 nt
Filed under: Sphingosinicella sp. R-41563
Lineage: Bacteria; Pseudomonadati; Pseudomonadota; Alphaproteobacteria; Sphingomonadales; Sphingosinicellaceae
Description: bacterial SSU rRNA
Rfam family: Bacterial small subunit ribosomal RNA
Source: RNAcentral
UCCUGGCUCAGAACGAACGCUGGCGGCAUGCCUAACACAUGCAAGUCGAACGAGACCUUCGGGUCUAGUGGCGCACGGGUGCGUAACGCGUGGGAAUCUGCCCUUGGGUUCGGGAUAACAGUUGGAAACGACUGCUAAUACCGGAUGAUAUCUUCGGAUCAAAGAUUUAUCGCCCAGGGAUGAGCCCGCGUAGGAUUAGCUUGUUGGUGAGGUAAAAGCUCACCAAGGCGACGAUCCUUAGCUGGUCUGAGAGGAUGAUCAGCCACACUGGGACUGAGACACGGCCCAGACUCCUACGGGAGGCAGCAGUGGGGAAUAUUGGACAAUGGGCGAAAGCCUGAUCCAGCAAUGCCGCGUGAGUGAUGAAGGCCUUAGGGUUGUAAAGCUCUUUUACCCGG